UAGCAUAUCAAUAAGCGGAGGAAAAGAAACCAACAGGGAUUGCCUCAGUAACGGCGAGUGAAGCGGCAACAGCUCAAAUUUGAAAUCUGGCCCUCUCAGGGUCCGAGUUGUAAUUUGGAGAAGAUGCUUCGGGUGUGGCCCCGGUCUAAGUUCCUUGGAACAGGACGUCAUAGAGGGUGAGAAUCCCGUACGUGACCGGUGGCCUCGCCCGUGUGAAGCUCUUUCGACGAGUCGAGUUGUUUGGGAAUGCAGCUCAAAAUGGGUGGUAAAUUUCAUCUAAAGCUAAAUAUUGGCCAGAGACCGAUAGCGCACAAGUAGAGUGAUCGAAAGAUGAAAAGCACUUUGGAAAGAGAGUUAAACAGUACGUGAAAUUGUUGAAAGGGAAGCGCUUGCAACCAGACUUGCGCGCGGCCGAUCAUCUGGUGUUCUCACCGGUGCACUCGGUCGCGCUCAGGCCAGCAUCGGUUUGGGUGGCUGGAUAAAGGCCUCGGGAAUGUGGCUCCCCCCGGGGAGUGUUAUAGCCCGAGGUGCAAUGCAGCCUACCCGGACCGAGGACCGCGCUUCGGCUAGGAUGCUGGCGUAAUGGUUGUAAGCGACCCGUCUUGAAACACGGACCAAGGAGUCUAACAUCUAUGCGAGUGUUUGGGUGUCAAACCCAUACGCGUAAUGAAAGUGAACGGAGGUGAGAACCCUUAAGGGUGCAUCAUCGACCGAUCCUGAUGUCUUCGGAUGGAUUUGAGUAAGAGCAUAGCUGUUGGGACCCGAAAGAUGGUGAACUAUGCCUGAAUAGGGUGAAGCCAGAGGAAACUCUGGUGGAGGCUCGCAGCGGUUCUGACGUGCAAAUCGAUCGUCAAAUUUGGGCAUAGGGGCGAAAGACUAAUCGAACCAUCUAGUAGCUGGUUCCUGCCGAU
Molecule: ribosomal RNA, 911 nt
Filed under: Oidiodendron cereale
Lineage: Eukaryota; Fungi; Ascomycota; Leotiomycetes; Myxotrichaceae
Description: LSU rRNA
Rfam family: Eukaryotic large subunit ribosomal RNA
Source: RNAcentral